GUGCUCUCUUUGGCAGGACAUAUACUAAAAUGGGAAUGACACAGAGAUUAGCAUGGUCCCUGUGCAAGGAAGACACACAAAUUUGUGAAGUGUUCCAUAUUUAA
RNAcentral lists this small nuclear RNA (104 nucleotides) under Dasypus novemcinctus (nine-banded armadillo). The record is from RNAcentral. Lineage: Eukaryota; Metazoa; Chordata; Mammalia; Cingulata; Dasypodidae.